AUUUUGAUAAAACUUUAACUUAAUCUCAUAUAAUUUUAUAUCACAAUUUCUUCUCACAUGAUAAAAUCGACUCUACAAUCCAAAAAUAACUCAAUACAUUUUACCAAAUAAGCAAAAAUCCAUAUAACACACUUUCUUCAAAGUAAAAGUCCCCCCAAGUCAUUUGAUAUUAUUUGUUUUUUCAAACUAUGAUAUAUUAGAAAGUAAUGGAUCUUUUUGUAAUUUAAUUUGUAAGAAAUUGGUGGUAUCAAAGUAAAUAUUAUCAGCCAAAAUUACACCUCAUUCUCUCUCUCAUUUGCACUCCGACGGCUGUCCGCACCGUUUCCACUCUACUCCGGUAGCAAAGAAGCUCUAAUAGAUGAAUCAUCAAUGGUAGUCCUUGCUUUGAUCUCGUGAUGAUAUUGCAUUUCUAUUUCAAACAUAGAGUUUCGUCUUCACAAUUGCAAAUAGUUUGUGCUCUUGUUUGAAAUAUUGCAUCGGAUGAUGGAAAGGAGGUAGUGUUGCUUGGGAUGCCCACCUUAUCCACCACAUGCUGUCUAGUAAGGGCUUAUCUUUGUGAAUUGCCAUGCUUGUUUGCACCUAUUGACUACUUUUAUUCCGAGU
Non-coding RNA from Solanum lycopersicum (tomato), 603 nucleotides. The record is from RefSeq and is a predicted model, not a curated record. Lineage: Eukaryota; Viridiplantae; Streptophyta; Magnoliopsida; Solanales; Solanaceae.